AUUGCUUCUUGGCCUUUUGGCUAAGAUCAAGUGUAGUAUAUGUUCUUAUCAGUAUGGGUCUUUUUAAAUGAAUAAUUUCUCAGAUUAUAAAUUUUAUUACAUUUUGUGAUUUUUGUCUCAGAAAAUUUCCACAACUUCC
RNAcentral lists this small nuclear RNA (139 nucleotides) under Marmota marmota marmota (Alpine marmot). RNAcentral's name for it is "U2 spliceosomal RNA". It matches the Rfam family "U2 spliceosomal RNA". From Rfam's summary of the family: U2 is a small nuclear RNA (snRNA) component of the spliceosome (involved in pre-mRNA splicing). Complementary binding between U2 snRNA (in an area lying towards the 5' end but 3' to hairpin I) and the branchpoint sequence (BPS) of the intron results the bulging out of an unpaired adenosine, on the BPS, which initiates a nucleophilic attack at the intronic 5' splice site, thus starting the first of two transesterification reactions that mediate splicing. The record is from Rfam by way of RNAcentral. RNAcentral also lists the same sequence under 2 other names. Lineage: Eukaryota; Metazoa; Chordata; Mammalia; Rodentia; Sciuridae.